AGCCCUCACCUUGCAACGUAGCCACGAAGAAAGGACCUUCGUUAUCCACCCCAACACCUGAGGCCUCCCCCGAGACAUCCACCUCUUCACCCGAGGCCUCUGUCCAGCCAUCCACCCCAACACCCGAGGCCUCUGUCCAGCCAUCCACCCCAGCCACACCUGAGGCCUCCCCCGAGACAUCCACCUCUUCACCCGAGGCCUCUGUCCAGCCACCCACCCCAACACAUGAGGCCUCCCCCGAGACAUCCACCCCAGCCACACCUGAGGCCUCCCCCGAAACAUCCACCUCUUCACCCGAGGCCUCUGUCCAGCCAUCCACCUCUUCACCCGAGGCCUCUGUCCAGCCAUCCACCCCAACACCCGAGGCCUCUGUCCAGCCAUCCACCCCAGCCACACCUGAGGCCUCCCCCGAAACAUCCACCUCUUCACCCGAGGCCUCUGUCCAGCCAUCCACCUCUUCACCCGAGGCCUCUGUCCAGCCACCCACCCAAACACAUGAGGCCUCCCCCGAGACAUCCACCUCAGUUUCUCCGCUCCCCAGUGUACCGGCUCUGUCCACCCCUCCAGCCGCCAUGAGGCUGGCAUCUCCUCUGUCCCGCAGGGGCCGGAAGAAAAGGCAGAGGGCGCAGAGGGGGAAGCACGACAGGCAGAGAGGGCAGGACGACGGGCAGAUGAUCCGGCAGGAAGGGCGCAGGCUGGACGGGCAGAAGAAGAAGAUGGUGUUCAGGGAUGAGUAUUCUAGAUUUGGUGAGCUGGUGGCUGCUAUGAUGAGCAGGGUGCAGGAAGAUAAGAGGGCCGAAGCAAUGCACUCUGUGUACAGCCUGUUGGACAGAAGCAAUGCACUCUGGGUACAGCCUGUUGGACUGAAGCAAUGCACUCUGGGUACAGCCUGUUGGACUGAAGCAAUGCACUCUGGGUACAGCCUGUUGGACUGAAGCAAUGCAGACUGUGUACAGUGUGACGACCCCUCCACGCCACUAGGGGUCUUUUCCCUCUUGCUGGCUCUUUUCCAGGUUUCCUGUUUGGAGUGGUGGGUCAUCAGCCCGGUUUGGCUCUGUGGCCGGUGUGGCUCUGUGGCCUAUAUCAGCACUCCUUCUCCAGUUCCCGGGAGAGAUCCCUUCCCCGUUGCAGACGGCUGCGUUUUGACUGUUGUUAUUCUUAUUUCAUUAUCUUUGUAAUAAAUGAUUGUUACUUCGUUCAUCCCUCGUCCGUCUCCCAUUUUAGUUGACACAGCUUAUGAGUCAGGCUGUGUCACAACAGCAUGUUGUACUGAAUCAAUGCACACAGUGUACAGCAUGUUGAACGAAUACAACUUUUCUUCUUUUGCGUAGUAUUGAAAAUAAAACACCAAUCAGGUUUUGAA
Clupea harengus (Atlantic herring) is the source of this 1363-nucleotide long non-coding RNA. Lineage: Eukaryota; Metazoa; Chordata; Actinopteri; Clupeiformes; Clupeidae. The record is from Ensembl.